RNAcentral lists this non-coding RNA (27 nucleotides) under Homo sapiens (human). The record is from RNAcentral. Lineage: Eukaryota; Metazoa; Chordata; Mammalia; Primates; Hominidae.
CAGCAGGAAUGUCCUGAACCAAAAGGA